GACGAACGCUGGCGGCAUGCCUAAUACAUGCAAGUCGAACGAACCAUCCUGAAGAUUGAAGCUUGCUUCAUGAUUCAGACCUUGGUGAGUGGCGGACGGGUGAGUAACACGUGGGUAACCUGCCCAAAAGUGGGGGAUAACAUCUGGAAACAGGUGCUAAUACCGCAUAACAACUACUUUCUCAUGAUCGUAGCUUGAAAGAUGGCUCUGCUAUCGCUUUUGGAUGGACCCGCGGCGUAUUAGCUAGUUGGUGAGGUAAUAGCUCACCAAGGCAAUGAUACGUAGCCGACCUGAGAGGGUAAUCGGCCACAUUGGGACUGAGACACGGCCCAAACUCCUACGGGAGGCAGCAGUAGGGAAUCUUCCACAAUGGGCGAAAGCCUGAUGGAGCAAUGCCGCGUGAGUGAAGAAGGUUUUCGGAUCGUAAAACUCUGUUGUUGAAGAAGAACAUGCGUGAGAGUAACUGUUCACGUACUGACGGUAUUCAACCAGAAAGCCACGGCUAACUACGUGCCAGCAGCCGCGGUAAUACGUAGGUGGCAAGCGUUGUCCGGAUUUAUUGGGCGUAAAGAGAAUGUAGGCGGUUUAUUAAGUUUGAAGUGAAAGCCCUCGGCUCAACCGAGGAAGUGCUUCGAAAACUGGUAAACUUGAGUGCAGAAGAGGAAAGUGGAACUCCAUGUGUAGCGGUGGAAUGCGUAGAUAUAUGGAAGAACACCAGUGGCGAAGGCGGCUUUCUGGUCUGUAACUGACGCUGAGAUUCGAAAGCAUGGGUAGCAAACAGGAUUAGAUACCCUGGUAGUCCAUGCCGUAAACGAUGAGUGCUAAGUGUUGGAGGGUUUCCGCCCUUCAGUGCUGCAGCUAACGCAUUAAGCACUCCGCCUGGGGAGUACGAUCGCAAGAUUGAAACUCAAAGGAAUUGACGGGGGCCCGCACAAGCGGUGGAGCAUGUGGUUUAAUUCGAAGCAACGCGAAGAACCUUACCAGGUCUUGACAUACCAUGAAAAGCUAAGAGAUUAGUCUUUCCCUUCGGGGACAUGGAUACAGGUGGUGCAUGGUUGUCGUCAGCUCGUGUCGUGAGAUGUUGGGUUAAGUCCCGCAACGAGCGCAACCCUUAUUAUCAGUUGCCAGCAUUCAGUUGGGCACUCUGGUGAGACUGCCGGUGACAAACCGGAGGAAGGUGGGGACGACGUCAAAUCAUCAUGCCCCUUAUGACCUGGGCUACACACGUGCUACAAUGGUCGGUACAACGUGCUGCGAACUCGCGAGGGUAAGCAAAUCACUUAAAACCGAUCUCAGUUCGGAUUGUAGGCUGCAACUCGCCUACAUGAAGCUGGAAUCGCUAGUAAUCGCGGAUCAGCAUGCCGCGGUGAAUACGUUCCCGGGCCUUGUACACACCGCCCGUCACACCAUGAGAGUUUGUAACACCCAAAGUCGGUGGGGUAACCCUUCGGGGAACUAGCCGCCUAAGGUGGGACAAAUGAUUAGGGUGAAG
This 1492-nucleotide ribosomal RNA is filed under the name Companilactobacillus crustorum. Its description in RNAcentral is "bacterial SSU rRNA". It matches the Rfam family "Bacterial small subunit ribosomal RNA". The record is from RNAcentral. Lineage: Bacteria; Bacillati; Bacillota; Bacilli; Lactobacillales; Lactobacillaceae.